RNAcentral lists this ribosomal RNA (548 nucleotides) under uncultured bacterium. RNAcentral's name for it is "bacterial SSU rRNA". It matches the Rfam family "Bacterial small subunit ribosomal RNA", at positions 355 to 895 of the family's 1533-position model. The record is from RNAcentral.
UAGGGAAUCUUCGGCAAUGGGGGCAACCCUGACCGAGCAACGCCGCGUGAGUGAAGAAGGUUUUCGGAUCGUAAAGCUCUGUUGUAAGUCAAGAACGAGUGUGAGAGUGGAAAGUUCACACUGUGACGGUAGCUUACCAGAAAGGGACGGCUAACUACGUGCCAGCAGCCGCGGUAAUACGUAGGUCCCGAGCGUUGUCCGGAUUUAUUGGGCGUAAAGCGAGCGCAGGCGGUUUGAUAAGUCUGAAGUUAAAGGCUGUGGCUCAACCAUAGUUCGCUUUGGAAACUGUCAAACUUGAGUGCAGAAGGGGAGAGUGGAAUUCCAUGUGUAGCGGUGAAAUGCGUAGAUAUAUGGAGGAACACCGGUGGCGAAAGCGGCUCUCUGGUCUGUAACUGACGCUGAGGCUCGAAAGCGUGGGGAGCGAACAGGAUUAGAUACCCUGGUAGUCCACGCCGUAACGAUGAGUGCUAGGUGUUGGAUCCUUUCCGGGAUUCAGUGCCGCAGCUANNGCAUUAAGCACUCCGCCUGGGGAGUACGACCGCAAGGUU